UACGAAGGGGGCUAGCGUUGCUCGGAAUCACUGGGCGUAAAGCGCACGUAGGCGGAUUGCUAAGUCAGGGGUGAAAUCCUGGAGCUCAACUCCAGAACUGCCUUUGAAACUGUAAGGCUUGAGUCCGGGAGGGGGUAGCGGAAUUCCUAGUGUAGCGGUGAAAUGCGUAGAUAUUGGGAGGAACACCAGUGGCGAAGGCGGCUACCUGGACCGGAACUGACGCUGAUGCGCGAAAGCGUGGGUAGCAAACAGG
RNAcentral lists this ribosomal RNA (253 nucleotides) under uncultured bacterium. RNAcentral describes it as "partial 16S ribosomal RNA". It matches the Rfam family "Bacterial small subunit ribosomal RNA", at positions 524 to 776 of the family's 1533-position model. The record is from RNAcentral.